CUCCUAGCAGUCAAACUGGAACAGCAUACAAUAAAUCCUUCCCCCAAUAAUGAGACGACACUUCACUUUGAGGGUUAAAACAGGAACUCCCUGUACUGUCACAUACAGUCUCUUUUAUUCCCAAUCCACAAACAUAGUACAGCCCACAGGGCGUUACAAAACAACCAAUCAAUCCGUACAAUACACCCAGACACUCCCACACAAACUCCUCCCCUCUGCCUGUGAUAUGAUUACUGAACACAAUGGGUAAUCUCAUUAUCACCGGCAGAGGAAUACAGUUUUUACACAAUAUUUAUAACUUCUAAAAUAUACAUGUCACAAACAUAAAGCAUACAUUUUCAUAAUCAAUCCAUUCAGGGGAACAACAUAUUAAAAAAUGGCACGAAUCAGACCAGGGGUUCAAAAGUUAAGGGAAAGUC
This is a non-coding RNA of Pelobates cultripes (western spadefoot toad), 419 nucleotides long. The record is from the annotation of a GenBank genome assembly. Lineage: Eukaryota; Metazoa; Chordata; Amphibia; Anura; Pelobatidae.